Molecule: ribosomal RNA, 468 nt
Filed under: uncultured bacterium
Lineage: Bacteria
Description: partial 16S ribosomal RNA
Rfam family: Bacterial small subunit ribosomal RNA
Source: RNAcentral
GACGAACGCUGGCGGCGCGCUUAACACAUGCAAGUCGAACGGAAAGGACAUGCGUUUGCUUUUUGUUCCUUUGGCGCACAGGGGAGUGUAACGCGAGUGACAUGCCCUCUGCUGUGGGGUACAAUCGGUGGACACGACCUAUAACACCAUAUAAGCUCAUGCUUCAUGGUGGGGGUUGGAGAGAUUCGGCGGUUGGGGUUGGACUCGCGGCUCAUCAGCUUGUUGGUGGGGUAGUGGCUUACCAAGGCUUUGACGGGUAGCCGGCCUGAGAGGGUGACCGGCCACAUUGGGACUGAGAUACGGCCCAGACUCCUACGGGAGGCAGCAGUGGGGAAUAUUGCACAAUGGGCGGAAGCCUGAUGCAGCAACGCCGCGUGCGGGAUGACGGCCUUCGGGUUGUAAACCGCUUUCGCCUGUGACGAAGCGUGAGUGACGGUAAUGGGUAAAGAAGCACCGGCUAACUACGUG